This 20-nucleotide unclassified non-coding RNA is filed under the name Dictyostelium discoideum. The record is from RNAcentral. Lineage: Eukaryota; Evosea; Eumycetozoa; Dictyosteliales; Dictyosteliaceae.
CGCACUGAAAGAUGCAGUCA